GGGGAUGAAUUCAGUGGUAGAGUAUGCGCUUAGCAUGUGCAAGGCCCUGGAUUCAAUCCCCAGCACCACCA
This 71-nucleotide transfer RNA is filed under the name Marmota marmota marmota (Alpine marmot). It matches the Rfam family "tRNA". From Rfam's summary of the family: Transfer RNA (tRNA) molecules are approximately 80 nucleotides in length. Their secondary structure includes four short double-helical elements and three loops (D, anti-codon, and T loops). RNAcentral also lists the same sequence under 1 other name. Lineage: Eukaryota; Metazoa; Chordata; Mammalia; Rodentia; Sciuridae. The record is from Rfam by way of RNAcentral.